This 414-nucleotide ribosomal RNA is filed under the name uncultured prokaryote. RNAcentral describes it as "bacterial SSU rRNA". It matches the Rfam family "Archaeal small subunit ribosomal RNA", at positions 914 to 1331 of the family's 1478-position model. The record is from RNAcentral.
CUCGCGUGUCUAUUACCAGAAGCGACGGCAGGGUGAAGGCCAAGCUAAUGACCUUGCCUGACGAGCCGAGAGGUGGUGCAUGGCGAUCGUCAGUUCGUGGUGUGAACUAUCAGGUUAAGUCCUGUAACGAACGAGAUCCUCGUUGACAGUUGCUACUGUUCCAGAGAUGGAGCAGGCACUCUGUCGAGACCGCCUACGUUUAAGUAGGAGGAAGGAGAGGGCGACGAUACGUCAGUAUGCCCUGAAUCUCCUGGGCUACACGCGGCAUACAAAGGUCGAUACAAUGAGAUGCAAUGCCGAAAGGCAAAGCCAAACCCUAAACGACCUAAGUUCGGAUUGAGGGCUGAAACUCGCCCUCAUGAAGAUGGGAUCCCUAGUAAUCGCUUGUCACUAUCGAGCGGUGAAUACGUCCCU